UCCCCUGUUUANCAAAAACAUGGCCUUUUGAUUAUAAUUUAAGGUCUGGCCUGCCCNAUGAGUUUUUGAAUGGCCGCGGUAUUUUGACCGUGCAAAGGUAGCAUAAUCNUUAGUUUUUUAAUUGAAAGCUGGAAUGAAAGGUUGGAUGAGAAAAUAAUUGUCUCUAUUUAAAUUAAUUAGAAUUUUAUUUUUAAGUUAAAAAGCUUAAAUAAAAUUAGAAGACGAGAAGACCCUAUAGAGUUUUAUUAAUCUUUUAAAGGGAAUUUUUAGUAUUUAAUUUUUUUUUUAUACGAUUAAUUUAAUUGGGGUGAUUAAAAAAUUAAAUUAACUUUUUUUCAGUACAUACAUUAAUUUAUGAAUAUUUGAUCCUUAAAUAGAGAUUAUAAGAUAAAAUUACCUUAGGGAUAACAGCGUAAUUUUUCUAGAGAGUUCUAAUCGAAAGAAAANAUUGCGACCUCGAUGUUGGAUUAAAAUAAAAUUUUGGUGUAGAAGCUAAAGUAUUUAGGNCUGUUCNACCUUUAAAAUUUUACUUGAUCUGAGUUCA
This 544-nucleotide ribosomal RNA is filed under the name Dodecastichus mastix. Its description in RNAcentral is "partial 16S ribosomal RNA". It matches the Rfam family "Bacterial large subunit ribosomal RNA", at positions 1795 to 2613 of the family's 2925-position model. The record is from RNAcentral. Lineage: Eukaryota; Metazoa; Arthropoda; Insecta; Coleoptera; Curculionidae.